This 488-nucleotide long non-coding RNA is filed under the name Rattus norvegicus (Norway rat). RNAcentral's name for it is "long non-coding RNA NONRATT016219". Lineage: Eukaryota; Metazoa; Chordata; Mammalia; Rodentia; Muridae. The record is from RNAcentral.
CCACCCAGGUGUCUGCAGAGUGACCCUAUCUGAAACCUACACCAACCACAGAUGGACCAACGCUGCCCCGGGUCCACACGCACAAGGUCUCAGCUAUGAAACCCAGGGACUCUGCGGGGGAGCGAGCUCACCAGAUGCGGGGCGCGUUCCUCCUACUAGUCAUCCAGCGCCCCGGGGCCCGGAGCUGCUCCCAGGGUCCUCUUCAGUGCGCCAGGAGGAAAGUCGAGGCAGCAACAACCACUACACCCGGCCACUUCUCCAGAGCUAUCCUCCACUCGCAGCGCGCCAGGCUGGGGACCAGCUCGCCUGCUGGAGUCUCCAGUUGUGCAGCUGAGUGAACAGGCUCGCGCCGAGAGAGGGCAACCGGUGAGAUGGCAAAGUUGGGUACCCUCUGUUUAGGUCCGCGCGUGCGAACCAGAACACCCCAAAGAAGGAUUGCACGUGCCGGGACCUCCCCGCAGUGGGAAGGUGGGAUACAGAUGCCGCCG